Molecule: long non-coding RNA, 264 nt
Filed under: Ananas comosus (pineapple)
Lineage: Eukaryota; Viridiplantae; Streptophyta; Magnoliopsida; Poales; Bromeliaceae
Description: long non-coding RNA (ACOM_LNC039925)
Source: RNAcentral
UAUAAGAAAACAAGUGAUGCAUGUUAAACUUGGUGUAUACGACGCCUAUGGACUAUAUGAUGAUUGUGACCCUAGAGGAUAGGGUAUUCUCGAGACGAGGAUUGGAUCAUGCUCACGGUCUGUUUUUAAAUCUUGUGAUGGAAGCCCCACACAAGUAGUGCGCUCCGGAGUUGGUCACGUAGGAUCGCCUAUUUUGGGUCCCAAGGGAUUUUCUAUUUCGGGUCCCGCCAGACGGUCUCGGUUCGUAGUGCGAGUUGACCCUCC